AACCCGCAGAUCUCCUGGGGCUCCUCGGAGCAGGAAAGGAGCCACAAAUCAGGGUGGGGGUGUGUUUGUCGGUGGAAGAAAUGGGACCAGAAGGGGUGCAGUGAUAGCAUGUGUGCCUGUGUGUUUGUGUGUUUUGUUGGCAAGAAUUCAGAGGGACAGGGCGGGAAGGAAAGGAGUCCAAGUGAAAUCUUAGAAAUAGCAGGUUCAAUUCAACUCAUUUCAAUUUAGCAAUUUGUUCUGAGGACCCAGUGCCUAGUGUGGGGCCCACAGUGCACACCCAGUGAAUGUUUGUUGAUGAGUGGAUGAGUGAAUGAUUUACCUCUCGUUUCUAAGCCCUCCCACCCCCGUAUUCUCACGUCUCACAAACAUGCACUGAGCAGCUGACUGCCAAGUUCUCUGCCAGCCCCUGGGCACACAUUCACCUGUCCAGCCCCUGCCCAGAGAGCUCCCGUCUAGGAGCUGGCCGACUGUGACUGACAGGGCAGGACGGUGAGGGGGUGAGGAGGGGGUCCUGGGACAACGUCACAGGCAGGUCCUUCCCUCGCUUGGAUGCUCCUCCCAGAACCCCCUCUGAUUCAGUCGCUCUGCCCACAGCUUGUCUCCAGCCCGGCUGUUCACCCUCCAGAACUCUGUGCUCCGGGGCUGCCUGGCAGCUGGGAGUCUCCUUAGAGUCUGGGCUCUUCUGGCAGAGGCUGAGGCUCACCAGUGUCUUCUGGCCCCUCCAUGAGUGAGGCAAACGGAACCCUUGUGGGGCCCUCGGAGCUCCCCACAACAUCAGCGGUGGCCCCUGGACCGGGCGGCGGGGCCCGGGCGUGGCCUGUGCUGGUAGGGGUUGUGUUGGGAGCCGUGGUCCUCUCUCUGCUCAUUGCACUUGCUGCCAAAUGCCACCUCUGCCGCAAAUACCGCGCCAGCUACCAGCACCGCCCGCUGUCUGGGACGGGCAAGGGGAACCGCCCCCAGGUGGGUGAAGAGGAGGAUGAUGGCUUCAUCGAGGACAAUUACAUUCAGCCCGGGGCUGGCGGGCUGGGGCUGGAGGGAAGCAGGGAUCACUUCUCCCUCUGAGCCCUGUCGUUGGCCCUGCCCACCCCCACCCCGAAGCCUGAGAGCUUAAGGCUGGCAGAUACUCCUCGGUGGGACCACAAGUCUCAGGGAUUGGUGGCCAGGGCUUCAGGGCUGACCGGGAGGAGAGCAGUGUCCCUUCCUUGAUGCUAGGCACCAAAGUGAACCACGCAUGACCAUCCCUUGCUCAGUAGCCCUCAAUGGCUCCCUGCCGCCCUCAGGAUACUGCCCACCAAGGGCCUGACCGUGAAAUCAGGUCUCUGCCAGCCCUUGGUUUCCUUUGUCACUGGUCCCUGACUUCCUCCCUACUGAGCCAAUUCCUUCGGAUUCCUCCCCCUCCUACGCUGCUGUUUCUUUUGCUCCUCUGCCUCUCUGCCCUCUUGUUCUCCCUAACAUAGAGGAUGCGCUCAUCCUCUGUAACAGUGAUGAAAAUCCCUGGCCAGUCGACCCUGUGUGGCCUGCCCACCUGCCAGCAUUUCAGAUGCGCUCAGACGGUCCCAUUUCAGCAGAUGAAAACCAGGGUGCCAAGUUUCUUACUGAGAUUGUUUUCCCAUCAAUAAAGUGGGUAAUCGAAAUGGUUAUAAUAUAUUCUGUUUCCACAGGUAUUAAUAAAUUUAUUUUCACUUUAAACAAGAAUAAAAGGAAGUCACUCA
Non-coding RNA from Sus scrofa (pig), 1712 nucleotides. The record is from RefSeq and is a predicted model, not a curated record. NCBI's taxonomy places the organism in Eukaryota, Metazoa, Chordata, Mammalia, Artiodactyla, Suidae.